CUGAGGUGGCGACCGGCGCACGGGUGAGUAACACGAUGCAACCUGCCUGUAAGCGGGGAAGUAACCCGUUGAAAGACGGACUAAUACCGCAUAAUACUAAAUUACUGCAUGGUAAUUUAUUUAAACAUUUAUGGCUUACAGAUGGGCAUGCGCAUGAUUAGCUAGUUGGAGAGGUAACGGCUCCCCAAGGCAACGAUCAUUAGGGGUUCUGAGAGGAAGGUCCCCCCACACUGGUACUGAGACACGGACCAGACUCCUACGGGAGGCAGCAGUGAGGAAUAUUGGUCAAUGGACGAGAGUCUGAACCAGCCAAGUCGCGUGCAGGAAGAAUUGUCCUAUGGAUUGUAAACUGCUUUUGCAGGGGAAUAAAGUGCAUCACGUGUGAUGUUUUGUAUGUACUCUGCGAAUAAGGAUCGGCUAACUCCGUGCCAGCCGCGGC
Molecule: ribosomal RNA, 439 nt
Filed under: uncultured bacterium
Lineage: Bacteria
Description: bacterial SSU rRNA
Rfam family: Bacterial small subunit ribosomal RNA
Source: RNAcentral